GAUUAACGCUGGCGGCGUGCAUAACACAUGCAAGUCGAACGAUGAAGAUUAUUAGACUUCUUCGGAAUGAAAAUAAUUGGAUUAGUGGCGGACGGGUGAGUAACGCGUGAGUAACCUGCCUUACACAAGGGGAUAGCCGUUGGAAACGACGAAUAAUACCCUAUGAAACUAUCACUUCGCAUGAAGCGAUAGUCAAAGUGUUAGCGGUGUAAGAUGGACUUGCGUCUGAUUAGCUAGUUGGUGAGAAAAAAGCCCACCAAGGCAACGAUCAGUAGCCGGCUUGAGAGAGUGUACGGCCACAUUGGGACUGAGACACGGCCCAGACUCCUACGGGAGGCAGCAGUGGGGAAUUUUGCACAAUGGGGGAAACCCUGAUGCAGCGACGCCGCGUGAUUUAGAAGGCCUUCGGGUUGUAAAAAUCUUUUGUAUAGGAAGAAAAUGACAGUACUAUACGAAUAAGGUCCGGCUAAUUACGU
This 476-nucleotide ribosomal RNA is filed under the name uncultured bacterium. RNAcentral describes it as "partial 16S ribosomal RNA". It matches the Rfam family "Bacterial small subunit ribosomal RNA", at positions 28 to 506 of the family's 1533-position model. The record is from RNAcentral.